RNAcentral lists this long non-coding RNA (351 nucleotides) under Actinidia chinensis (golden kiwifruit). RNAcentral describes it as "long non-coding RNA (ACHI_LNC006334)". The record is from RNAcentral. Lineage: Eukaryota; Viridiplantae; Streptophyta; Magnoliopsida; Ericales; Actinidiaceae.
UAUGGGCUACAAAAUAACAGUACUCUUCUGCAGCAGUUUGACAGACAGUGAUGAACGAUCUCUAGUCGAUCUACCGGUAUAUCUACUGAUUUGUAUGAUCAUAUUGGCAAUCAAAAUUCAUGUACAAAACUGUUAGAGGACUCAGAUUUAAUUUGAAAAAAAUAAAGUUCAAAAAUACCAAAAACCCACCAUUUGCUUGACUUGAAUGAGUACACUUCAGUCAAAGGAGACAGCCACAGGGAAUGUUUCUGGUCCACUCUGACUUGAAGCAUGACUUAACCAAAAAAGAGUGAGUGUGGUGCCCCCAACAAGUCCCAUGAAUAUGUUGGACUGCACCCAAACAAAACCUUG